UGCCAGCAGCCGCGGUAAUACAGAGGGUGCGAGCGUUAAUCGGAUUUACUGGGCGUAAAGGGCUUGUAGGCGGUUGUUUAAGUGUGAUGUGGAAGACCCGGGCUUAACCUGGGACAGUCAUUACAAACUGGACGACUAGAGUACGGUAGAGGGGAGUGGAAUUUCCGGUGUAGCGGUGAAAUGCGUAGAGAUCGGAAGGAACACCAGCGGCGAAGGCGGCUCUCUGGCCCGAUACUGACGCUGAGGUGCGAAAGUGUGGGGAGCAAACAGGAUUAGAUA
Molecule: ribosomal RNA, 279 nt
Filed under: uncultured bacterium
Lineage: Bacteria
Description: partial 16S ribosomal RNA
Rfam family: Bacterial small subunit ribosomal RNA
Source: RNAcentral